Vespa velutina is the source of this 518-nucleotide long non-coding RNA. RefSeq lists it as uncharacterized. NCBI's taxonomy places the organism in Eukaryota, Metazoa, Arthropoda, Insecta, Hymenoptera, Vespidae. The transcript is spliced from 2 exons. The record is from RefSeq and is a predicted model, not a curated record.
AUAUAUAUAUAUAUAUAUAUAUAUAUAUAUAUAGUAAUUUAUUAUAUUUGUUAUAUAUUAAUAUGUGUGAAAUUGUUUUAUUUACAAAUACAUUCAAAAAAAGAAGAAAAAAAAAUCUUUUCCAUGAAAUAAAUGGAUUUGGUCAGGAAAGGAAAUAGCGUGCAAUAAAUAACAUUUACAGUGACCUAAGAAUAUUAUGGUCCUGCAUACAGAAUACAAAACAAGAUUUUAAGAUUUACAACACCAUGCUUGUAAACAACAAGACUAUGUUAUUACAAAUGUUUUGUUCAACAAUGUACCGUAUAACAAACUGGAUAAAUGUGACACGUGUUUUUAAACCCACUGUUUUUAACAAUAUAACAGUCAGUAAAACUCAUUUUUAUUAAUAAAUUUUUUGUUUGUUAGAAUAAUAUAAUCUAGACUAAACACAAAUCUAGACUGGAAUACAAACCUGUACGAUUAAAUGCAGAAUAUUGAUUUUUUUUUAAUAAAAUUGCAUUGAUCUUUGAUCAUAAAAA